GGUCGCGUAGCUCAGCUGGAUAGAGCAUCUGCCUUCUAAGCAGACGGUCAAAGGUUCGAAUCCUUUCGCGAUCACCA
RNAcentral lists this transfer RNA (77 nucleotides) under Flavobacteriaceae bacterium. RNAcentral describes it as "tRNA-Arg". It matches the Rfam family "tRNA". Rfam says of the family: Transfer RNA (tRNA) molecules are approximately 80 nucleotides in length. Their secondary structure includes four short double-helical elements and three loops (D, anti-codon, and T loops). Further hydrogen bonds mediate the characteristic L-shaped molecular structure. tRNAs have two regions of fundamental functional importance: the anti-codon, which is responsible for specific mRNA codon recognition, and the 3' end, to which the tRNAs corresponding amino acid is attached (by aminoacyl-tRNA synthetases). tRNAs cope with the degeneracy of the genetic code in two manners: having more than one tRNA (with a specific anti-codon) for a particular amino acid; and 'wobble' base-pairing, i.e. permitting non-standard base-pairing at the 3rd anti-codon position. Lineage: Bacteria; Pseudomonadati; Bacteroidota; Flavobacteriia; Flavobacteriales; Flavobacteriaceae. RNAcentral also lists the same sequence under 1 other name. The record is from RNAcentral.